Non-coding RNA from Gossypium arboreum, 52 nucleotides. NCBI's taxonomy places the organism in Eukaryota, Viridiplantae, Streptophyta, Magnoliopsida, Malvales, Malvaceae. The record is from Rfam.
AUAACGGCGUUUUUUAUAAAAACGCCACAAAAAAAUGCAAUAAAAAAAGUGG